GGGAAUGUGGCUCAGUUGGUAGAGUGCUUGCCUAGCAUGCGGGAAGCCCUGGGUUCGAUUCCUCAGUGCCA
Molecule: transfer RNA, 71 nt
Filed under: Dipodomys ordii (Ord's kangaroo rat)
Lineage: Eukaryota; Metazoa; Chordata; Mammalia; Rodentia; Heteromyidae
Rfam family: tRNA
About the family: Transfer RNA (tRNA) molecules are approximately 80 nucleotides in length. Their secondary structure includes four short double-helical elements and three loops (D, anti-codon, and T loops).
Source: Rfam by way of RNAcentral